AACGAACGCUGGCGGCAUGCCUAACACAUGCAAGUCGAACGAAGGCGUCCGGCUUAGGGGCGCACGUGUGGGGAACACGGGGGAAGUUGCACUUUGCUUACGUAUAACAGAUAUAAAUGAAUGCUAAUAAAGCAUGGUGUCGUAAGAGAAAAGAUGUAUCGGCAAAGGAUGGGGGCGCGUAGGAUUGGGCAGUUGGUGGGGUAAAGGCCUACCAAGGCGACGAUCCUUAGCUGGUCGGAGAGGAUGACCAGGCACGAUGGAACUGAGGCACGGCCCAGACUCCGACGGGAGGCAGCAGUAGGGAGUAUUGUGCGAUGAGCGCAAGUCUAGCACAGCAGUGCCGCGUAUGUGAUGAAGGCCUUAGUGUUGUAAAGCUCUUUUAGCCGAGAUGAGAAUGACGGUACCGGGUGAAGAAGCACCGGCUAACUCCGUG
RNAcentral lists this ribosomal RNA (433 nucleotides) under uncultured bacterium. RNAcentral's name for it is "partial 16S ribosomal RNA". It matches the Rfam family "Bacterial small subunit ribosomal RNA", at positions 29 to 507 of the family's 1533-position model. The record is from RNAcentral.